Molecule: non-coding RNA, 279 nt
Organism: Salmo salar (Atlantic salmon)
Lineage: Eukaryota; Metazoa; Chordata; Actinopteri; Salmoniformes; Salmonidae
Source: Rfam
GCCCAAUGAUGAGACCAAGGCGAAUGCGAGCCAACUGAAAGAGGGUUGGGAUCUCUCUCGUCUGGCCGGUAAUCUUGGCAGUGUAGUGGAGAUUGGCUGCUCUGCUGUAAGGGCCGGCCUACAGUGACUUGGCCCCACCCACACGUUUCUCCCGCUGAAGAAACACGAUAGAGAAUAGUGGGAGGGUGCUGACAGUGUGACUGGUGUGUUAAUCUGAGGCAGGGAGAAACCCACCUCUCCUUCAUAUUCAGGAGCUCUUCUUUUAUUAAUCUGAGGGCU